Molecule: ribosomal RNA, 857 nt
Filed under: uncultured Actinomycetes bacterium
Lineage: Bacteria; Bacillati; Actinomycetota; Actinomycetes
Description: bacterial SSU rRNA
Rfam family: Bacterial small subunit ribosomal RNA
Source: RNAcentral
UGGGUGACUUGGCGGGUCAUCGAAUUCGGGCGGCCGCCAUGGAGGCCGGGAGCAUGGGACAUCAGGCCCAGUGUGACCUGCCUUGAGCCUCAUUAAAAGCCUGGGAAACUGGGUCUAAUACCGGAUAUGACCUCGGAAUGCAUGUUCUGGGGUGGAAAGAUUUAUCGGUGCGAGAGGGGCCCGCGGCCUAUCAGCUUGUUGGUGAGGUAACGGCUCACCAAGGCGACGACGGGUAGCCGACCUGAGAGGGUGACCGGCCACACUGGGACUGAGACACGGCCCAGACUCCUACGGGAGGCAGCAGUGGGGAAUAUUGCACAAUGGGCGCAAGCCUGAUGCAGCGACGCCGCGUGCGGGAUGACGGCCUUCGGGUUGUAAACCGCUUUUGACAGGGACGAAGCGCAAGUGACUGUACCUGUAGAAUAAGGACCGGCCAACUACGUGCCAGUAGCCGCGGUAAUACGUAGGGUCCGAGCGUUGUCCGGAAUUACCGGGCGUAAAGAGCUUGUAGGCGGUUCGUCGCGUCGUUUGUGAAAACUUGGGGCUCAACCUUAAGCUUGCAGGCGAUACGGGCGGACUAGAGUACUUCAGGGGAGACUGGAAUUCCUGGUGUAGCGGUGAAAUGCGCAGAUAUCAGGAGGAACACCGGUGGCGAAGGCGGGUCUCUGGGAAGUAACUGACGCAGAGAAGCGAAAGCAUGGGUAGCAAACAGGAUUAGAUACCCUGGUAGUCCAUGCCGUAAACGGUGGGUACUAGGUGUGGGGCUCCUUCCACGGACUCCGUGCCGUAGCUAACGCAUUAAGUACCCCGCCUGGGGAGUACGGCCGCAAGGCUAAAACUCAAAUGAAUUGACGGGG